GACGAACGCUGGCGGCGUGCCUAAUACAUGCAAGUUGAGCGCUGAAGGUUGGUACUUGUACCAACUGGAUGAGCAGCGAACGGGUGAGUAACGCGUGGGGAAUCUGCCUUUGAGCGGGGGACAACAUUUGGAAACGAAUGCUAAUACCGCAUAAAAACUUUAAACAUAAGUUUUAAGUUUGAAAGAUGCAAUUGCAUCACUCAAAGAUGAUCCCGCGUUGUAUUAGCUAGUUGGUGAGGUAAAGGCUCACCAAGGCGAUGAUACAUAGCCGACCUGAGAGGGUGAUCGGCCACAUUGGGACUGAGACACGGCCCAAACUCCUACGGGAGGCAGCAGUAGGGAAUCUUCGGCAAUGGACGAAAGUCUGACCGAGCAACGCCGCGUGAGUGAAGAAGGUUUUCGGAUCGUAAAACUCUGUUGGUAGAGAAGAACGUUGGUGAGAGUGGAAAGCUCAUCAAGUGACGGUAACUAACCAGAAAGGGACGGCUAACUACGUG
This 497-nucleotide ribosomal RNA is filed under the name uncultured bacterium. RNAcentral's name for it is "partial 16S ribosomal RNA". It matches the Rfam family "Bacterial small subunit ribosomal RNA", at positions 28 to 507 of the family's 1533-position model. The record is from RNAcentral.